GGAACUCGAGAGCUUAUAGUUUGGUGAGGAACAUCUUUGUCAGCCAAAGAAGAAAGGGAAUUCAAGCGAGGACAAUGGCUUCUGGACAAGAACGAGCUGAACUUGACGCAAGGGCAAAGCAAGGAGAGACUGUUGUUCCUGGUGGAACUGGUGGCAAGAGCCUUGAAGCUCUGGAGCACCUUGCUGAAGCGGAGCCGAGGAGGGCAGACGAGGAGAGAUCAGCUAGGAACAGAGGGGUACAAGGAGCUGGGCCACCGUGGAGGUGA
Molecule: unclassified non-coding RNA, 266 nt
Filed under: Hevea brasiliensis (rubber tree)
Lineage: Eukaryota; Viridiplantae; Streptophyta; Magnoliopsida; Malpighiales; Euphorbiaceae
Source: RNAcentral